RNAcentral lists this ribosomal RNA (504 nucleotides) under uncultured bacterium. RNAcentral's name for it is "bacterial SSU rRNA". It matches the Rfam family "Bacterial small subunit ribosomal RNA", at positions 29 to 514 of the family's 1533-position model. The record is from RNAcentral.
AACGAACGUUGGCGGCGUGGCUUAGGCAUGCAAGUCGAACGAGAAAGUUUCCUUCGGGGAGCGAGUAUAGUGGCAAAAGGGUGAGUAAUGAUUAGUUAACCUACCCCUAAAACUGGGAUAACUACCCGAAAGGGUUGCUAAUACCGGAUGGUCUAUGAGAGAUGCAUAUCUUUUAUAGUAAAGGCGCUCGCAAGGGUGUCGAUUAGGGAGGGGAUUAAUUCCUAUUAGCUAGUUGGUGAGGUAAUGGCUCUACCAAGGCAUUGAUGGGUAACCGAUCUGAGAGGAUGACCGGUCACACUGGGACUGAGACACUGCCCAGACUCCUACGGGAGGCUGCAGUCGCGAAUAUUCCGCAAUGGACGCAAGUCUGACGGAGCGACGCCGCGUGUGGGAUGAAGGCCUUAGGGUUGUAAACCACUGUCACACUUUAAGAAAUCAAUUAGGGUAACUCCUAGUUGUUGACAAAGGAGUGGAAGGAAGUCACGGCUAACUACGUGCCAGCAG